ACGUGCCAGCAGCCGCGGUAAUACGUAGGGGGCGAGCGUUGUCCGGAAUUAUUGGGCGUAAAGAGCGUGUAGGCGGUUCGGUAAGUCUGCCGUGAAAACCUGGGGNUCAACCCCGGGCGUGCGGUGGAAACUGCCGGGCUAGAGGAUGGUAGAGGCGAGUGGAAUUCCCGGUGUAGCGGUGAAAUGCGCAGAUAUCGGGGGGAACACCAGUAGCGAAGGCGGNUCGCUGGGCCAUUCCUGACGCUGAGACGCGAAAGCUAGGGGAGCGAACAGGAUUAGAUACCCUGGUAGUCCUAGCCGUAAACGAUGAACACUAGGUGUGGGGGGAGUCGAAUCCCUCUGUGCCGCAGCCAACGCGAUAAGUGU
Molecule: ribosomal RNA, 366 nt
Filed under: uncultured bacterium #2479-3D6
Lineage: Bacteria; Bacillati; Actinomycetota; Rubrobacteria
Description: bacterial SSU rRNA
Rfam family: Bacterial small subunit ribosomal RNA
Source: RNAcentral